Molecule: ribosomal RNA, 429 nt
Filed under: Actinomycetes bacterium
Lineage: Bacteria; Bacillati; Actinomycetota; Actinomycetes
Description: Actinobacteria bacterium partial 16S ribosomal RNA
Rfam family: Bacterial small subunit ribosomal RNA
Source: RNAcentral
UAGGGAAUCUUCCGCAAUGGGCGAAAGCCUGACGGAGCAACGCCGCGUGAGUGAUGAAGGUCUUCGGAUCGUAAAACUCUGUUAUUAGGGUAGAACAAAUGUGUAAGUAACUAUGCACGUCUUGACGGUACCUAAUCAGAAAGCCACGGCUAACUACUUGCCAGCAGCCGCGGUAAUACGUAGGUGGCAAGCGUUAUCCGGAAUUAAUGGGCGUAAAGCGCGCGUAGGCGGUUUUUUAAGUCUGAUGUGAAAGCCCACGGCUCAACCGUGGAGGGUCAUUGGAAACUGGAAAACUUGAGUGCAGAAGAGGAAAGUGGAAUUCCAUGUGUAGCGGUGAAAUGCGCAGAGAUAUGGAGGAACACCAGUGGCGAAGGCGACUUUCUGGUCUGUAACUGACGCUGAUGUGCGAAAGCGUGAGGAUCAAACAGG